RNAcentral lists this ribosomal RNA (504 nucleotides) under uncultured bacterium. Its description in RNAcentral is "partial 16S ribosomal RNA". It matches the Rfam family "Bacterial small subunit ribosomal RNA", at positions 30 to 523 of the family's 1533-position model. The record is from RNAcentral.
AUUGAACGCUGGCGGCAGGCCUAACACAUGCAAGUCGAACGGUAGCACAGAGAGCUUGCUCUCGGGUGACGAGUGGCGGACGGGUGAGUAAUGUCUGGGAAACUGCCCGAUGGAGGGGGAUAACUACUGGAAACGGUAGCUAAUACCGCAUAACGUCGCAAGACCAAAGUGGGGGACCUUCGGGCCUCCCACCAUCGGAUGUGCCCAGAUGGGAUUAGCUAGUAGGUGGGGUAAUGGCUCACCCAGGCGACGAUCCCUAGCUGGUCUGAGAGGAUGACCAGCCACACUGGAACUGAGACACGGUCCAGACUCCUACGGGAGGCAGCAGUGGGGAAUAUUGCACAAUGGGCGCAAGCCUGAUGCAGCCAUGCCGCGUGUAUGAAGAAGGCCUUCGGGUUGUAAAGUACUUUCAGCGGGGAGGAAGGCGGUGAAGUUAAUAACUUCACCGAUUGACGUUACCCGCAGAAGAAGCACCGGCUAACUCCGUGCCAGCCGCCGCCGUAA